CCUACGGGAGGCAGCAGUGAGGAAUAUUGGUCAAUGGACGAGAGUCUGAACCAGCCAAGUAGCGUGAAGGAUGACGGCCCUAUGGGUUGUAAACUUCUUUUAUAUGGGAAUAAAAUGUUCCACGUGUGGGAUUUUGUAUGUACCCUAUGAAUAAGGAUCGGCUAACUCCGUGCCAGCAGCCGCGGUAAUACGGAGGAUCCGAGCGUUAUCCGGAUUUAUUGGGUUUAAGGGGAGCGUAGGUGGUUUGUUAAGUCAGUUGUGAAAUCUUGCGGCUCAACCGUAAAAUUGCAGUUGAAACUGGCAGUCUUGAGUACAGUAGAGGUGGGCGGAAUUCGUGGUGUAGCGGUGAAAUGCUUAGAUAUUACGAAGAACGCCGAUUGCGAAGGCAGCUUACUGGACUGCAACUGACACUGAGGCUCGAAAGUGUGGGUAUCAAACAGGAUUAGAUACCCGAGUAGUC
Molecule: ribosomal RNA, 460 nt
Filed under: uncultured bacterium
Lineage: Bacteria
Description: partial 16S ribosomal RNA
Rfam family: Bacterial small subunit ribosomal RNA
Source: RNAcentral